UCUGACCCAGUCCUUUCCCCAGGUACUCAGUCAGUGGUUCAGGCUGUGACUCAGCAGUUCCCAUACACCUCCACAGCUCUCUGGAGGACACGGAGGCAUUUCCACCCUCAGUCCAGCAGCAAUGCAGCCCUACUUCAGGCUGGAUCAAAAUGACACAGUUUGACUCAUAUGCCCGGUAAUCAGACAGCAUAACCACGAACAAGACCUCUGUAUUAUUCCCAGGGAAGUGACCAACUAUCCUCAGCUCUUGCUACACACCAUGUUUUUGACAAGCACAUCCUUCUCUCUCCUAGAAUUUCACUCCUUGACCCCCAAAUCCCUCCCAGCUAAUCCACUGCGGAGAGAAGGCAGCAAAACCAGCAACCUACUGCAAAGGCUCUUGCAACUGAGGCACCAGGGAACCUCAAAGCUGUCUCUAACAAAACACAAUGCAAAGCCUUGCCUAGAUCCCUGGGAACAUCUUAGGUUUUAUGUUUAUUUUUCAGUGCGAUCAUCAAGCAAGACAGCAAAGAGCCUCGUCACCAUCCAUCACGAACUUCAUUGUUUAGUAACAAGAUGUAUUACCCCCUUGCAGCAAAAUAACACUCCAGCCAAAGCUCCCAUUUGUUAUGAUCUAGCUGACUGGGACAGCUGUUUGUGUCAAUGCUGUAAACACUCCAUUUGGGGCAGAGACAGCAAGUUUUAAGUGCUAAUAAAUGGGACUGCAGGCCACUGAGCAUGCACAAGGUUAGUGGCUAGUCACCAGCAGCCCUCUCUGGCUGGGUCCCUUGAGCAGCCCCAGCCCACUGCUGCACGCCCAGCUCCGGGCACCGAUCCCAUUGCAAUGGCCCUACCAGCUCAGCUGCAGCUCCAUCAUGCAUUUCCCCACAACCCAACAGCCCCACUGCCAGGGCACGGCAAUCGACCACAGAGUGCCAGAAAGCCAGCAGCUGCGUGGGCAGGAAGCAUUUGGUACCGAGCCAGCUGCUCUCAGCCCAACAGGAAUGAGGUCAGUGCUGAAGGAGGAACUUAAGUGUCUCCGUGCAUCUGGAAGGAGCUGUAUCUGCUUUUCUGCAGUCACCUUUAUCAGAAACAGCCUCAGAUGAUCAGACAGCAGAGAGAAAGCUUUCCAGACAGCACUGGCAGACUUUUCCAGGAACUUACGAUGGUAACCUUGGGUAGAACAGAAUGAAAUGCUUAGCUAGGUCUUUGAUCUUGUGCCUGCCAUGCUUUCCAGAGUUGGAGGCAUGCUCCUAUCUUUAGUUUAUUAUCCGCUGCACAAUCAGCUUUAAAGCUCCAAAAAAGCAAAGGCCAUUGAAGCUGGUAGUUGGUAACAGCAUACCGGGGGGCCAGAGAUGACCUAUCACCACGCCAGAUUCCCAAGCACACAUCGGGGCAGCUCAGAGCAUGCUUUCUCUUGCCAUGCAAGCUCAACUGCAGCCAGCCUAACCUAUACCCCAAAGAGCCAGCAGCCUUCCAGAAUCCCCAGACAGAGGCAGGCUGCCUGCUCACAUGGUGCCCUUGCUCUGGCUGCAUGACAUCUGGUACAGCAAAGACAGUGUCUUUGCAGAGCAGCUUUAGGUGAUGCAGAGUACAUUGUGGCAGCAGCCAUCAGGGGAUUUCACUGAGGUCACAGCCUCGACACGUUAGACACAGAUGUCACUUCCAUUUCUGAGGCAGAAAAAAAAAAAAGCUUAAAGAUGUACAGACAAAGCACUGGCAAGAUACCAUAAUUUAUCAUCACUGUCAUCGGAAGCACUCACAAUAGCCUGAGUAUACCCUUCAACUCCUCUGUAACAACUCCUUUGAGAGGUACAUGAAUGCUAGAAGCAGGGACAGGCCUCCUGUACAUUUACACCUCUGACUCUGAGGAACUAAAUCCUUCAGGAAGGCUGCAAGGAUUAAAAAAAAAAAGAAAUAAAAAUCACCAGCCCUCCAAUCUCUGCAGCCAGCCUGACAAACUGUCCUCAGGAGCACCCAUAGAGCAUACAGAGGGAGCACUGUGGUCCAUCAGUAGUAUCAGAGCUAGCUUAAUAACACCUACAGAAGAGAAAAAGCCACUGCUAUUUUCACACUGCUUGAUCAGACCUCUAUUUCAACUGCAGCAGCACAGUGUCACCCCAUCCUAGGACCUAAAGGUAGAAGUAGGUAAAGGCACAAAACAUGAUAAAAGCACCACCAUAUCAUUACCUUCUCCUGUACAGCCUUGCAGCUUAGUAAGGACUUUAUCUGGCCAGGAACUUUUCACUCUGCAAAUCAAGAGCUGGAAAUAAAAACCCACAGGCAGCAGAUCCUUCGGCAGACUCAGGCUGCAUCAUGUUCAGGAGAUUACCACAAACCCAGAUGACACUCAGGGAGAUGAACCACAGCUUCUCACCCUCUCAUGACAAGGCUGUAUUGACCAUCAAACAAACUCCUUGAAGCAAAGCAGAGCAGCAGUGAACUCACUAUACUCCUGUACACCAACAAGGGGCACUCAAAGAAUUUCAUCAAUCCCAUAGCAUGGAACAUUUUGUACAAGAUGUGCUUAAUGCAGACAACAAACUUGGGUCCAGGCUCAGGCAUUAUCUUGUACGCUGCUUUAUCACUUACCUGGAUUUUUCUUCAUUUUCCUUUAUUGGUCUGCAAAUAGCUCAAGGGAAGCCCAGGCCAUGUCACACUGGGAAAGGCUCCCAGGACUCAGCCAAUAGGUUGGGAGUAGGUUCACAAGGAAGGACCCAUAUCCUCACUGCCUCUUCACAUCCACUGUGGCACAGUCCCAGGAAAAUCAGUGGGAUAUAAGCCACCAGCUAGAAAUGCUUAAAAGUCCUAAAGCAAGACAUAGAACAUUCCCUUGCAGUCCCCCUGUACUUCUCACUCAGCACUAAGAGAUUCAGUUGAAAGGGUCAUUUCAAGUUUAAGAAAGAACACUUUCACACAGCUGCUUUGAAAGCUCACCUCUUCUGCACUUCCCAGGGUCAGGCAAAUAGCCCCUUGCCACCUUGUUGGGGUGUGGAGGAAACUUAUUAAUCACCUACCAGCCACCACCUGCAGUGCUCUGGCAAAGCCACAGAGCUCUUUGGUGGUUAUCAGCACCCACACCUGUAGCUAACAGGAAUCUAACACUGAACACGAGCUAACAAGUGUUAAAAUUGAGCAGUGAGAGCUGCCCUUCUGCAAAAAAGAACUGAGCCAUGAUGCUCAGCACCAGUUUUCAGCUCACCCCUGCUGCGAUGGGAUGCUCUCACAUCUACUUCUACUCUGGGUGCUUUGAGGCUGCCAGACAGGUGUAGAAGAGGAUUUGACUCAGCUCCCUGCCCAUGUGCUAUAGGGCCAUUACAGGCACCACAACCUUCACAACCACUAUAUCCCCUCUUGGCUACUGAAAAUCACAGAUGUGGUGGUACCCGUACCUCCUCCCAGGCCUUCUUUACCACUUAGCAGCCCUUAUUGUUACUUCAUGACCACAUCUUUCAGAAUCAGAGCCUUUCACAUAGAAGGCAGAGGCCAUUUCCAAUGUCUGCCCAAACCAUUUGUAGUUUAACCCAUCCCAUUGUGAGCAGCUGUUCAUGGUGCAGUUUCCAUCCACAUCCAGCGCACACACCUCCACCUCGCAGAGGGGCUUCUGUGCUUCAGAUUUGGGUUUGAAACCCAAACCUUUGGCAGCCUUCUCCAACCCAACCCUAAGAUUUUGCUUUUCUCCUCCCAAAAAGCCUACAGAGGGGCUGCCAAGCCCUCUGGCCUUUCAUUUCCUUGCUGCAUGCAGUGCUAUGAGGCGUGCUUUCAUGCUGAGCUCUUGGGGCAACGUUUGCUCUGACUUGAGGGGAAAAAAAUAUACAUAAGAAACAGGGUGGGCCAGCUCUUAGAAACACAAUAUACAGCACACCUGCUGCUCCGGGUUCGCUUCACCUCCUGCAACAAACGGGAGCCUGGCACUGCCUCACCUCACGCUCAGGACUUGAGGGGAAGCAGAUCAAAACUGAAUACACAGAGGAGCACCGCGGGCCGCAGCUCUGCUGACGCCACAGAGACGCUCUUGUGACAAAACGCUGGGGAAGGGCCGAGCGUCGCCAGCCGCGUCAGGCGGGAGCGGAGCCGCCUCAGUCCCGCCCCGCCUCCCCUCAGCGCUGCGCCCGCGCUUUUCCCGCCCUCUGAGGGGAGUAACGGCCGCCCCUCAGUAGCACGUCUCUAAGCGCUACAGCACGACCAGGGACGUGCAACUUGGAGCCAUUAGCUCUGGACCUAUCGCUGGGAGUGGAGACCGACUGCACUUCACCACAUCUUUUCCGGAGUUUUAGUGUUGAGGUCUCUCCUGAGCCUCCUCCAGACUGACCAUCCCCAUAGGACUGUGCUCUAGACCCCUCACAGUCCAUGCCAGGCACUGGGGAACUGCAGUGCUACAGGAGCUGCUGAAUCCCAUUCUCCCGGGGGAAACAGCUCCAUGUGCUGGCAUGGAUUAGAGGAGAAAAAGAGCCCCAGAAAACAUGGAUGAAGCCCUCACCUGAGCCAGUCCUCCUCCAGCCCUGUGUGGAGCUGGAGCAUUGGCUUGCCUGACCUGUAACAUGGUGCGGAGUGAGGGAGCCAAACGAGCCAGUGUCAAAAUCUUUUAUUUACAACAGUCUCCAAAAAUCAAGGAACAUUGAAAAUAGUGAGAGUAGGAGACGACUUACAAAAAGUAACACGCAUACGUUACAUUGCGAAUUGUGCUACAUCACUCUGAGAACCGAUGCAGGUCUGCAGGCACGUGGCGAAGCGGCAGCACCUCGAGGUGCUCGUGCCCCCUCUCCCCCCAUCAUCCCUCUUCUUUGCUCUCUUCCCUGCAAACCUUCCUGCCUGCUGCUCUGCCUCCAGUCCUCCUAUCACCCCCCCCUGCUGUCCCCAAGGAGGAGCGGGGGGAGGACACAUCCCACACCUCCAUUCUGAUGAACGGAUGCUGUGAGAGUUUCCAACUCCAGGACCUGGGUGUGAAGCUGAGGAAGAGGAGUUAGCAAAGGGCUUUGAAACAGGAUAACCUGUGAGCUGUGACUUGCAUGCUAUCCGGGGUGAGGAGUGAUUUUGGUAAUUACUAAGAGACUUGCCCUGCAUAGCUGCAAAUCAAUCAACGCAGUUUUCCUGCUGGACAGUGUGCACACAUUCAUGUGUAUUUUGCAUUUAAACAGGCCUUUUAUAAUUUUCCAAGAGGGCAAGCCACUCUGGUAAGAAAAUUCAGUGCAGCACAAGCCAAAAUGAGGUGCUGUGACAUAAAAGCAACAUCCCAGUGUGUUCCAGUGGAGACAAAAUCAGGAGUCUCAGGAGACCCCUGCAGCCAGAUUGCCAAAACAGUGUGCGAACAGCUCUGUAAGCAUGCCAUAUAUCCAUCUCCUUGGGGAUAAUUUCCAGGCUGGCUUUGCUUGGGACAGAGAUCACAGCCCAGCGCAGUCACUGAUCCCUUUCCAGUAUCUGCAGCCUUUGAAACUGCCAAGAUUGGUGGCCAACCCUGAUGUCCCCAUUGCCUGUACAGGUCCUGCAUGAACCCAGCACCUCAAGAGCCACUGCAACAAAAGCAAAGAAAUGGAGUGAGGAGACCUGGAUCUAUUUCUUCCUCUGACACUGAUCUUUGCAAAGCACAUCAGCUCUGUUCCUCUUUGCUCCAAAGCUGUUGUGAGUCCUACUCUCACCAGUGUCUGUGGGGAACCUUGAACUCAAGCAGCAGCAAUUCUAAAGGCAAGGAGCAGCAGCUCUGUACAUAUCUCUGCUUUAGCGAACUGGGAUCAAUGCCCUUCUGUGACUGCUGAGGGCUUCUUGUCAGGACAGGAUCAGCUCUGUUUUAUAGGAAACUACACAGUUUCCAUCCUGAAACAUUAACUUCUCAGAAGGUAUCCUUCAAAACAGAAUUUACAAAAAAAAAAAAAAAAAAAAAGGAGUGGG
Molecule: non-coding RNA, 5865 nt
Organism: Phasianus colchicus (ring-necked pheasant)
Lineage: Eukaryota; Metazoa; Chordata; Aves; Galliformes; Phasianidae
Source: RefSeq, a predicted model, not a curated record